UCAGAUGCAUGGAUCUAAGAAGAAAAGAAGAGGAUCUUCUUAUUCUUCAAUUCUAUCAUGUUCCUCUCAAAUCAAUCAAUGGAUGGUGUCUUCAUGAGCUAGCACUCUCGGAGAGAUUGAUCAGUACCAGGACUUCAUGUGGAUAUCUGUAGAGGUCGGACACAUGUGUGGCUGUCAAGCAUCAUGAAAAACCAUCUAUCAUGAAUUUUGGAUGCGGUGAUCUACUAUCCACACUC
RNAcentral lists this long non-coding RNA (236 nucleotides) under Elaeis guineensis (African oil palm). RNAcentral's name for it is "long non-coding RNA (EGUI_LNC047065)". The record is from RNAcentral. Lineage: Eukaryota; Viridiplantae; Streptophyta; Magnoliopsida; Arecales; Arecaceae.